AUGGCGACGCUCUUCCUCGCCCUGCAGUGCGUGGAGUGCUCCACCAUGCAGGUGAAGCAGCAGAAGAAGAGCAGCAACAAGUGGGCGUGCGUGGUGUGCAACCGGCGCCAGUCCGUGCUCCGGGUGCACGCCCGCGGCUACCGCGCCGCCGACCUGCGCCGCUUCGUCCAGGACGCGAACCUCGCACGCGGCCGCGGCGCGCCCGUGCGCGAGGCGGACUGGGACCCGCCGGUGGCCGGGGAUCAACAAGACGAGCCCCCGAGGGAGAAGAAGCGGAUGGACUGGUCCGAGUACCUGGACGACACCGGGGAGCGUCAUGCCGGCCGCGGCUUUGCCGAUUCUCGUGAUGAUGGGAUUGAAGUGACAACUGAGCUACCCCAGGAAAGACCUAAAGCUCCUUCCUUGAAGAGGCCCCGAAAAGCCCAAUUGGGUGUAGCUGGAAAGAGGCCCAAACCACCAAUCAACCCCUCUUUAUCCAAGAUGCAGCAAAUGGAACAAGGUCCAACUUGCUCAACUGUCUGCUCUGCAACUUCUACUGCUGAAGCACAAAGAUCAAAGUUCAGCAAGUAUUUGGACAGUAGCUUCUUUGAAGAUAGAAAUCAGGAGGGUUCUGGGCUCCAUUGGACUGACCUUGAUGAAAGUGCUCCCACUACUGAGGUAGUGGUGGAUGAUGAGCCAUGCACAAAAGCCCAGGCAAAUGAUUGCCUCUCUUUUCUGUUGGAGCGACAGAGCCAUUAG
RNAcentral lists this ribosomal RNA (738 nucleotides) under Triticum aestivum (bread wheat). RNAcentral describes it as "partial small subunit ribosomal RNA". Lineage: Eukaryota; Viridiplantae; Streptophyta; Magnoliopsida; Poales; Poaceae. The record is from RNAcentral.